ACUCUUCUGCUUGCAGAAGAUAGUAAAGUGGCGCACGGGUGAGUAACGCGUGGGUAAUCUACCUCUGAAUUGGGGAUAACCCGCCGAAAGGCGAGCUAAUACCGGAUAAUAUCUUUUUAACCUCGGUUUUUAAGAUCAAAGGUGGUCUCUACAUGUAAGCUACUGUUUGGAGAUGAGCCCGCGUACCAUUAGCUUGUUGGUAGGGUAAUGGCCUACCAAGGCCGCGAUGGUUAGCUGGUCUGAGAGGAUGAUCAGCCACACUGGAACUGACACACGGUCCAGACUCCUACGGGAGGCAGCAGUGAGGAAUUUUGCGCAAUGGGGGAAACCCUGACGCAGCAACGCCGCGUGAGUGAUGAAGGCUUUCGGGUCGUAAAGCUCUGUCAAGUGGGAAGAACCUGCUCGAUGUUAAUACCAUCUAGCACUGACGGUACCACUAAAGGAAGCACCGGCUAACUCCGUGCCAGCAGCCGCGGUAAUACGGGGGGUGCAAGCGUUAUUCGGAAUUAUUGGGCGUAAAGGGCGCGUAGGCGGUCUCUAAAGUCAGAUGUGAAAGCCCGGGGCUUAACCCCGGAAGUGCAUUUGAAACUCGGGGACUUGAGUAUGGGAGAGGGAAGUGGAAUUCCUGGUGUAGCGGUGAAAUGCGUANAUAUCAGGAGGAACACCAGUGGCGAAGGCGACUUCCUGGACCAAUACUGACGCUAAGGCGCGA
RNAcentral lists this ribosomal RNA (712 nucleotides) under uncultured Desulfobacteraceae bacterium. RNAcentral's name for it is "bacterial SSU rRNA". It matches the Rfam family "Bacterial small subunit ribosomal RNA", at positions 70 to 756 of the family's 1533-position model. The record is from RNAcentral. Lineage: Bacteria; Pseudomonadati; Thermodesulfobacteriota; Desulfobacteria; Desulfobacterales; Desulfobacteraceae.